CUCACCCUUCCUUGCUUUUCCCGCCUAUAUACCACCGUCGUCAGCUUACCCUGUGAAGGUUUUAUAGUAAGCAAAGUUGGCACAGCCUAAAACGUCAGGUCGAGGUGUAGUGCAUGAGAGGGGAAGAAAUGGGCUACAUUCGCUACUAAUAGCGAAUUACGAAUGUUGCAUUGAAACAUGCAGCUGAAGGAGGAUUUAGCAGUAAGCAGAAAGCAGAGCGUCCCGCUGAAACUGGCCCUAAAGCGCGCACACACCGCCCGUCACCCUCCCCAAGCUUCCGGCCCUAAUUAACUAAAACCCUACAACUGCAAAGGAGAGGAAAGUCGUAACAUGGUAAGUGUACCGGAAGGUGCGCUUGGAAAAAU
RNAcentral lists this ribosomal RNA (365 nucleotides) under Kajikia audax (striped marlin). Its description in RNAcentral is "partial 12S ribosomal RNA". It matches the Rfam family "Bacterial small subunit ribosomal RNA", at positions 970 to 1533 of the family's 1533-position model. The record is from RNAcentral. Lineage: Eukaryota; Metazoa; Chordata; Actinopteri; Istiophoriformes; Istiophoridae.